This 440-nucleotide ribosomal RNA is filed under the name uncultured bacterium. Its description in RNAcentral is "partial 16S ribosomal RNA". It matches the Rfam family "Bacterial small subunit ribosomal RNA", at positions 338 to 795 of the family's 1533-position model. The record is from RNAcentral.
CCUACGGGAGGCAGCAGUAGGGAAUAUUGCUCAAUGGGGGAAACCCUGAUGCAGCAACGCCGCGUGGAGGAUGAAGGUUUUCGGAUUGUAAACUCCUUUUGUUAGAGAAGAUAAUGACGGUAUCUAACGAAUAAGCACCGGCUAACUCCGUGCCAGCAGCCGCGGUAAUACGGAGGGUGCAAGCGUUACUCGGAAUUACUGGGCGUAAAGGGCGCGUAGGCGGGAUAGCAAGUCAGAUGUGAAAUCCUAUGGCUUAACCAUAGAACUGCAUUUGAAACUGUUAUUCUAGAGUAUGGGAGAGGUAAGUGGAAUGCUUGGUGUAGGGGUAAAAUCCGUAGAUAUUAAGAGGAAGACUCGUGGCGAAGGCGACCUGCUAGAACAUAACUGACGCUGAUGCGCGAAAGCGUGGGGAGCAAACAGGAUUAGAUACCCUAGUAGUC